RNAcentral lists this ribosomal RNA (885 nucleotides) under Vanderwaltozyma tropicalis. Its description in RNAcentral is "LSU rRNA". It matches the Rfam family "Eukaryotic large subunit ribosomal RNA", at positions 36 to 938 of the family's 3401-position model. Lineage: Eukaryota; Fungi; Ascomycota; Saccharomycetes; Saccharomycetales; Saccharomycetaceae. The record is from RNAcentral.
UAGCAUAUCAAUAGCGGAGGAAAAGAAACCAACCGGGAUUGCCUUAGUAACGGCGAGUGAAGCGGCAAAAGCUCAAAUUUGAAAUCUAGUACCUUCGGUGCUCGAGUUGUAAUUUGUAGAAGGCAACUUUGGGGCUGGUCCUUGUCUAUGUUCCUUGGAACAGGACGUCAUAGAGGGUGAUAAUCCCGUGUGGCGAGGAAUUCAGUCCUUUGUAAAGUGCUUUCGAAGAGUCGAGUUGUUUGGGAAUGCAGCUCAAAGUGGGUGGUAAAUUCCAUCUAAAGCUAAAUAUUGGCGAGAGACCGAUAGCGAACAAGUACAGUGAUGGAAAGAUGAAAAGAACUUUGAAAAGAGAGUGAAAAAGUACGUGAAAUUGUUGAAAGGGAAGGGCAUUUGAUCAGACAUGGUGUUUUGCGCCCCUUACCUCUCGUGGGUUUGGGAAUCUCGCAGCUCACUGGGCCAACAUCAGUUUUGGUGGCAGGAUAAAUCUAUAGGAACGUAGCUUACUUCGGUAAGUAUUAUAGCCUGUGGGAAUACUGCCAACCGGGACUGAGGACUGCGAUUUAUAUCAAGGAUGUUGGCAUAAUGGUUAUAUGCCGCCCGUCUUGAAACACGGACCAAGGAGUCUAACGUCUAUGCGAGUGUUUGGGUGUAAAACCCGUACGCGUAAUGAAAGUGAACGUAGGUUGGGGCCUCGCAAGAGGUGCACAAUCGACCGAUCCUGAUGUUUUCAGAUGGAUUUGAGUAAGAGCAUAGCUGUUGGGACCCGAAAGAUGGUGAACUAUGCCUGAAUAGGGUGAAGCCAGAGGAAACUCUGGUGGAGGCUCGUAGCGGUUCUGACGUGCAAAUCGAUCGUCGAAUUUGGGUAUAGGGCGAAAGACUAAUCGA